AUUUAACGGCCGCGGUAUUAUAACCGUGCAAAGGUAGCGUAAUCACUUGUCUUCUAAAUGGAGACUUGUAUGAACGGCCACCUGAGGGCCCAACUGUCUCCUAUGGUUAAUCAAUGAAACUGAUCUUUCAGUACAAAAGCUGAAAUAUCAUCACAAGACGAGAAGACCCUGUGGAGCUUUAAGCCAAACACUACCUAAACAACCUUAAGUCUAACCCUAGACACACCUCGCCUGCCACCAUAGCCUAGGCUUUAAGUUGGGGCGACUACGGAGAAAACCAAAACCUCCACGAAUUCGGGCUAACCCCCCACCACACGGAUAACAAGCCAUGCGGUUAAACACAUUGAUCCAGUAAUACUGAGAAUCGGACCAAGUUACCCCAGGGAUGACAGCGCCAUCCCCUCUAAGAGUCCAUAUCGCCGGGGGGGCUUACGACCUCGAUGUUGGAUCAGGACACCCUGGUGGUGAAGCCGCUACCAAAGGUUCGUUUGUUCAACGAUCAAUGUCCUACG
Molecule: ribosomal RNA, 512 nt
Filed under: Pachydactylus maculatus
Lineage: Eukaryota; Metazoa; Chordata; Lepidosauria; Squamata; Gekkonidae
Description: partial 16S ribosomal RNA
Rfam family: Bacterial large subunit ribosomal RNA
Source: RNAcentral